AUCAUUAAGUUUUUUAUAAGACCUAUAUGAAUUUUCUGAGAGGUUAAAUAUGACAUCAAGAAAAUGAUAAUUUUGUCAAGCUGAGGCCCUGAUUUUUUUUUUUCAUUAUUGUUAAACCAUCAUCGUGAUACAAGCCUAAAGCCUGAUUAAAAUGAACUUUUUUAGCUAGGAAAGUUAAAAUAUAUAAGCUUACAAAUUUGCAAAUUUCUGCUCCAUUGUAACUACCCAUUGUUACAUCAAAGCAUUUGUGUGUGGUUUUUUUCUUCCACGUCUCGUUAUUAAAAAAGAGUAAAGUUUUUCUGCAAUGUCUAAUGUUUAACCACCCAAAGGAGAACAAUGAGAAACUGAACACAAAUUAGGCACAGAAACGAUACACAAAUCAAUGAGUAAAGCACAACUGAUCAUUUGGAAAAAAUUUUAUGUGAUGACAAUGCUUUUUUAGAUGCAACUUAUCAACUGGCUCGUCCAUAUUGAGAAACCUGCAUGUGAUCUUAAUCAGCUAAUGAAAAGUUUUGUUGUUUGUGAUUGCUUAGUUUGCUCUCUUAUAAAAGUCAUAUAUUUUUGUUUAAUAUCUUUAUGUAUUCGUAACAUUUAAUGCAUUUAGAAAUAAUA
Molecule: non-coding RNA, 612 nt
Organism: Hydra vulgaris (swiftwater hydra)
Lineage: Eukaryota; Metazoa; Cnidaria; Hydrozoa; Anthoathecata; Hydridae
Source: RefSeq, a predicted model, not a curated record